UGGGGAAUAUUGGACAAUGGGCGAAAGCCUGAUCCAGCCAUGCCGCGUGUGUGAAGAAGGUCUUCGGAUUGUAAAGCACUUUAAGUUGGGAGGAAGGGCAGUAAGCGAAUACCUUGCUGUUUUGACGUUACCGACAGAAUAAGCACCGGCUAACUCUGUGCCAGCAGCCGCGGUAAUACAGGGGGUGCAAGCGUUAAUCGGAAUUACUGGGCGUAAAGCGCGCGUAGGUGGUUCGUUAAGUUGAAUGUGAAAGCCCCGGGCUCAACCUGGGAACUGAAUCCAAAACUGGCGGGCUAGAGUAGGGCAGAGGAUGGUGAAACUUCCUGUGUAGCUGUGAAAUGCGUAGAUAUAGGAAGGAACACCAGUGGCGAAGACGACCACCUGGGCUCAUACUGACACUGAGGUGCGAAAGCGUGGGGAGCAAACAGG
This 429-nucleotide ribosomal RNA is filed under the name Pseudomonadota bacterium. Its description in RNAcentral is "Proteobacteria bacterium partial 16S ribosomal RNA". It matches the Rfam family "Bacterial small subunit ribosomal RNA", at positions 355 to 776 of the family's 1533-position model. Lineage: Bacteria; Pseudomonadati; Pseudomonadota. The record is from RNAcentral.